Molecule: small RNA, 100 nt
Filed under: Pongo abelii (Sumatran orangutan)
Lineage: Eukaryota; Metazoa; Chordata; Mammalia; Primates; Hominidae
Description: processed transcript
Source: RNAcentral
CCCUGAUAGACUUUUUGUCUCUGAAUUUGCUUAAACCGGAUAUUUCAUGCAGUUCCGGCGAGGGGGGAGCCUCAGCAGGAUUGCUGUGUGAAAACCGAGC